AUUCCAGCUCCAAUAGCGUAUACUAAAGUUGUUGCAGUUAAAAAGCUCGUAGUUGAAUUUCUGGUCUUGGACAGCGGUCUGCCUCAAACGAGGUACGCACCAUCUAUCCGAGUCCAUCCUCGGGGAAAACAUGUCUGUGAUUCAGUUCAUGGGCAUGGGAUCCUCGUCAUUUACUGUGAGCAAAAUAGAGUGUUCAAAGCAGGCUUAUGCCGUUGAAUAUUUUAGCAUGGAAUAAUAAGAUAAGACCUUGGUCUAUUUUGUUGGUUUGUACUCCAAGGUAAUGAUUAAUAGGGACAGUUGGGGGUAUUCGUAUUCAAUUGUCAGAGGUGAAAUUCUUGGAUUUAUUGAAGACGAACUACCGCGAAAGCAUUUACCAAGGAUGUUUUCAUCA
This 391-nucleotide ribosomal RNA is filed under the name Chrysophyceae sp. RNAcentral describes it as "partial small subunit ribosomal RNA". It matches the Rfam family "Eukaryotic small subunit ribosomal RNA", at positions 582 to 975 of the family's 1831-position model. Lineage: Eukaryota; Chrysophyceae. The record is from RNAcentral.